This 301-nucleotide ribosomal RNA is filed under the name uncultured bacterium. Its description in RNAcentral is "partial 16S ribosomal RNA". It matches the Rfam family "Bacterial small subunit ribosomal RNA", at positions 509 to 807 of the family's 1533-position model. The record is from RNAcentral.
CAGUAGCCGCGGUAAGACGAACCGUGCUAACGUUAUUCGGAAUUACUGGGCUUAAAGCGCGUGUAGGCGGGCCGGCACGUCGGACGCUGAAAUCCCCCGGCUUAACCGGGGAAGUGGCCCCGAUACGACCGGCCUCGAGGGGUGUAGGGGGGUCUGGAACUUCCGGUGGAGCGGUGAAAUGCGUUGAGAUCGGAAGGAACGCCCGUGGCGAAAGCGAGGCCCUGGACCCUUUCUGACGCUGAGACGCGAAAGCCAGGGGAGCGAACGGGAUUAGAUACCCGCGUAGUCCCUGUCUCUUAUA